GAUCCUGGCUCAGGAUGAACGCUAGCUACAGGCUUAACACAUGCAAGUCGAGGGGCAGCAUUUUAGUUUGCUUGCAAACUGAAGAUGGCGACCGGCGCACGGGUGAGUAACACGUAUCCAACCUGCCGAUAACUCCGGAAUAGCCUUUCGAAAGAAAGAUUAAUACCGGAUAGUAUACGAAUAUCGCAUGAUAUUUUUAUUAAAGAAUUUCGGUUAUCGAUGGGGAUGCGUUCCAUUAGUUUGUUGGCGGGGUAACGG
Molecule: ribosomal RNA, 258 nt
Filed under: uncultured bacterium
Lineage: Bacteria
Description: partial 16S ribosomal RNA
Rfam family: Bacterial small subunit ribosomal RNA
Source: RNAcentral